RNAcentral lists this long non-coding RNA (671 nucleotides) under Callithrix jacchus (white-tufted-ear marmoset). Its description in RNAcentral is "lncRNA (ENSCJAG00000073483.1)". Lineage: Eukaryota; Metazoa; Chordata; Mammalia; Primates; Cebidae. The record is from RNAcentral.
AAACUGGUAAAUGUAAAUAAUUGUUUCCUUGAUUUCCGUCAGCUGUUCCAGCAAAUCAAAUGAACCCAAAGAAGGACCUGGAAUUGCCAACAUGAAGCCAGUCAGUCACAAGUUCCAGACUUUUUCCAUCAUUUGCCACUGAUAUCUGAAGAAAAUGUAUCUCUGAUUCUACUCUAUAUAGAGGGAAAUGCCAGUCUUUUCAGUUUUAAGGAGAUGAAGCGGUACUCCAGCCUCCAUUGCUAGGCUUUCCCCUACUAAUCCAGACUCCAUCCAACUGAGGACAGUCAUUUUCACGGACUGCUAGAACAUCAAAGAAUGUUGUCUGCCAGCUAACACUACACAUCAGAAACAGGAAGAAAAAGAAGCAAUUGGUGGAAGUGGAAAAGAUGUAUCAUUUGGUUGCUCCAUCACAAGAAUUGAGUAGGUGUGAUGUGGUGCUGAGAAGAAUAUACAUUCAAAAGAUUCGAGGAAAUGAUAACAAGAAUGGAUAACUUAGAGAGGAAUAUGAAUGAAUUGAAGGAGCUGAAAACCACAAUACGAGAACUUCGCGAAGCAUGCACAAGUUUCAACAGCUGAACUGACCAAGCAGAAGAAAGAAUAUCAGAUACCGAAGGUCAACUCAAUGAAAUAAAACGAGAAACCAAGAUUAGAGAAAAAAAGCACAAAAAGGA